CUAAAAUGCAAAUAAAUCACUAACAAUCUCAUAUAGCCAUACAUGUUAUCAUGGUGAUGUAAUUAAUACUGAGCCAAUGUGAUUUGGGGAAUUAAUCAAGCUGCUGUUGCUGGGGUGGAAAUUCCUGUUACCUGCAGCAGGGCUGGGUUUGCUGCUCGUCUGCAGCUGCACGUUGGCAGACACUUGUGAUCACAGCAGCAGGAUUUAUAUAUAGGGUAUAUAAAUAUGAGGCUAAUACACAUAGAGCAGGAGAUAAGGAAAACAAUGCAUCAGGAUCCAAAGUUUUGGUGGCUCUUCUUUUAAAAAAAAAAAAAAAAAGAAGGCUUAUUAUGGCUCUGCUUAAGACCUCAGACACCUGUUCCACGCAGCCUACAAGCACGUCUGACAUUGGUGUGGCUACUGUCCACCCCUCCAGGGAAUCUCCCUGGGGGCUGAGUCCAUCUGACCACUGCUAUGUGCUUGGCUGAGCAGCAGUGCUGGGUCUACGAUGCCUUCAGACAUGUCCCAAGUGCAACGUGGGCAGUGCAUGUCCAUUUCUGAUGGUGAAGCAGCUUUUCUGCAUAAAGAGGACACAGUGUUUUCAGUGGGAACUAGGCCAGAUGGAAGCACACAGCCUCCCCAGUACUGCCGUCUGCCUGCCAGUGGGAUGGAUUCCCACAUACUGAUGGAGAUUGAUGGCUGCUCUCCAUGGACCAUCCUGCAGAACACAAAAUGAGAAAUGCCCUCAAUCUCCUCUGAAUUUCAAGUAAGAUUGUUUCUUGUUUAAGGCAAAGCUUAUUUAUUCUUUAUUCUUGCACAAACAGCAUUCACCCAUUGUGCUCAUGCUGUUGAUGGCAGGUUAGCUGUGAAUCUG
RNAcentral lists this long non-coding RNA (853 nucleotides) under Phasianus colchicus (ring-necked pheasant). RNAcentral describes it as "lncRNA (ENSPCLG00000010490.1)". The record is from RNAcentral. Lineage: Eukaryota; Metazoa; Chordata; Aves; Galliformes; Phasianidae.